CUCGCAGUCUCAAGGGAGCCCUUUUUUUCUUCCCCUGACCCUGAUGAUCUCUUCCUAGAGUUUUUGUGACCAAAGUGCUCCUAUCCCUAUGGAAGUGCCUCAGACAAGUAUGAGAACUUGGUGGUUUAGAAAUAAACUGGACAAUAUCAGUGAGAAGUAGGGUGGGAUCAAGAUUCCAGAAUAAAGAGGACAUGACCAGAGCACCAAGCCUGACCUCAAAGAGAACUUCAGCCAACAAGUCUUCAGGUGCUCCUUCCUGUAGCAGAUGGUCCAGUUCACAGCCACAUCAGGUGGAUAAACCUGUGCUGUCAGGCUGUAACCCCAGGAAAUCGCCUCACUAUCUUUUUUAGCCAAAUAGAUAGUUGGUCUCCAGGAACAUCCUGCUUCCCCUGUAUUUUCCAUCUUGUGUGUUGGGUAACAACGUAUUUCCCAAGGAGCAUUUCCUUCGCAAACAUGAUUUUUCCGGCCCAGGAAAUUAUUAUUAAACAACUCUAGCUUACUAAGUACUGUGAUGUUGCUUUAAGAUAUAAAUAUCAAAUAUCUAUGACACAUUGCCCUUGUUCUCUAGCUUGUAUGGAGGACACAACCUAAAGUGACCCUCCAAUAAGUAAUAUCUUUGCAUAAUCUGCUCCCCUUGAGAAUAGGCAAAACCUAUGACUGACUUGCUGCUAAGCAGUAGAAUAUAGCAAAGGUGA
RNAcentral lists this long non-coding RNA (695 nucleotides) under Rhinopithecus bieti (black snub-nosed monkey). RNAcentral's name for it is "lncRNA (ENSRBIG00000046230.1)". The record is from RNAcentral. Lineage: Eukaryota; Metazoa; Chordata; Mammalia; Primates; Cercopithecidae.